CGGGGCGGGGGGAGUUGGAUUCCGUCGGCCGCCAUUGGGGGGGGGAGAAUGGGAGAUCAGGGGGGUUCGCCCUAUAGCGGGCCUCAUUAAGGCCCGGGGGAACUGGGUCUAAGACCGGAUAUGACCAUAGAAUGCAUGUUUAAGGGGUGGAAAGAUUUAUCGGUGCGAGAUGGGCCCGCGGCCUAUCAGCUUGUUGGUGAGGUAACGGCUCACCAAGGCGACGACGGGUAGCCGACCUGAGAGGGUGACCGGCCACACUGGGACUGAGACACGGCCCAGACUCCUACGGGAGGCAGCAGUGGGGAAUACUGCACAAUGGGCGCAAGCCUGAUGCAGCGACGCCGCGUGCGGGAUGACGGCCUUCGGGUUGUAAACCGCUUUUGACAGGGACGAAGCGCAAGUGACUGUACCUGUAGAAUAAGGACCGGCCAACUACGUGCCAGCAGCCGCGGUAAUACGUAGGGUCCGAGCGUUGUCCGAAAUUACUGGGCGUAAAGAGCUUGUAGGCGGUUCGUCGCGUCGUUUGUGAAAACUUGGGGCUCAACCUUAAGCUUGCAGGCGAUACGGGCGGACUAGAGUACUUCAGGGGAGACUGGAAUUCCUGGUGUAGCGGUGAAAUGCGCAGAUAUCAGGAGGAACACCGGUGGCGAAGGCGGGUCUCUGGGAAGUAACUGACGCUGAGAAGCGAAAGCAUGGGUAGCAAACAGGAUUAGAUACCCUGGUAGUCCAUGCCGUAAACGGUGGGUACUAGGUGUGGGGCUCCUUCCACGGACUCCGUGCCGUAGCUAACGCAUUAAGUACCCCGCCUGGGGAGUACGGCCGCAAGGCUAAAACUCAAAUGAAUUGACGGG
This 851-nucleotide ribosomal RNA is filed under the name uncultured Actinomycetes bacterium. RNAcentral's name for it is "bacterial SSU rRNA". It matches the Rfam family "Bacterial small subunit ribosomal RNA", at positions 63 to 917 of the family's 1533-position model. Lineage: Bacteria; Bacillati; Actinomycetota; Actinomycetes. The record is from RNAcentral.